UGAAAAGCAAGUACUGUUUGUUGAGUGAC
RNAcentral lists this non-coding RNA (29 nucleotides) under Mus musculus (house mouse). The record is from RNAcentral. Lineage: Eukaryota; Metazoa; Chordata; Mammalia; Rodentia; Muridae.